CGGACGGGUGAGUAACGCGUGGGUAACCUGCCGUAUGCAGGGGGAUAACACUUAGAAAUAGGUGCUAACACCGCAUAAGCGCACGAGAGCGCAUGCUUUUGUGUGAAAAACUCCGGUGGCAUACGAUGGACCCGCGUCUGAUUAGCCAGUUGGCAGGGUAACGGCCUACCAAAGCGACGAUCAGUAGCCGGCCUGAGAGGGCGGACGGCCACACUGGGACUGAGACACGGCCCAAACUCCUACGGAAGGCAGCAG
This 255-nucleotide ribosomal RNA is filed under the name uncultured bacterium. Its description in RNAcentral is "partial 16S ribosomal RNA". It matches the Rfam family "Bacterial small subunit ribosomal RNA", at positions 99 to 354 of the family's 1533-position model. The record is from RNAcentral.